GUAACGGUGUCUUUAGACACCACCCUUUCUUAUAUUCAAAAUAUUAU
This is a non-coding RNA of Picea glauca (white spruce), 47 nucleotides long. The record is from Rfam. Lineage: Eukaryota; Viridiplantae; Streptophyta; Pinopsida; Pinales; Pinaceae.